AGCCAGACUCCUACGGGAGGCAGCAGUGGGGAAUAUUGCACAAUGGGGGAAACCCUGAUGCAGCGACGCCGCGUGAGUGAAGAAGUAUUUCGGUAUGUAAAGCUCUAUCAGCAGGGAAGAAAAUGACGGUACCUGACUAAGAAGCCCCGGCUAACUACGUGCCAGCAGCCGCGGUAAUACGUAGGGGGCAAGCGUUAUCCGGAUUUACUGGGUGUAAAGGGAGCGUAGACGGCAUGGCAAGUCAGAUGUGAAAGCCCGGGGCUCAACCCCGGGACUGCAUUUGAAACUGUCAGGCUGGAGUGCAGGAGAGGUAAGUGGAAUUCCUAGUGUAGCGGUGAAAUGCGUAGAUAUUAGGAGGAACACCAGUGGCGAAGGCGGCUUACUGGACUGUAACUGACGUUGAGGCUCGAAAGCGUGGGGAGCAAACAGGAUUAGAUACCCGAGUAGC
This 448-nucleotide ribosomal RNA is filed under the name uncultured bacterium. RNAcentral's name for it is "bacterial SSU rRNA". It matches the Rfam family "Bacterial small subunit ribosomal RNA", at positions 329 to 794 of the family's 1533-position model. The record is from RNAcentral.